AAUUUGCUGGCUGCGUGCUUCACAUGCAAGUCCAACGCUGAAGCCGACAGCUUGCUGUUGGUGGAUGAGUGGCGAACGGGUGAGUAACACGUGAGUAACCUGCCCCUGAUUUCGGGAUAAGCCUGGGAAACUGGGUCUAAUACCGGAUACGACCACCUGACGCAUGUUGGGUGGUGGAAAGUUUUUCGAUCGGGGAUGGGCUCGCGGCCUAUCAGCUUGUUGGUGGGGUAAUGGCCUACCAAGGCGACGACGGGUAGCCGGCCUGAGAGGGCGACCGGCCACACUGGGACUGAGACACGGCCCAGACUCCUACGGGAGGCAGCAGUGGGGAAUAUUGCACAAUGGGGGAAACCCUGAUGCAGCGACGCAGCGUGCGGGAUGACGGCCUUCGGGUUGUAAACCGCUUUCAGCAGGGAAGAAGCGAAAUUGACGGUACCUGCAGAAAAUUACCGGCAAGUAUU
Molecule: ribosomal RNA, 461 nt
Filed under: Brevibacterium sp. SSCA12
Lineage: Bacteria; Bacillati; Actinomycetota; Actinomycetes; Micrococcales; Brevibacteriaceae
Description: bacterial SSU rRNA
Rfam family: Bacterial small subunit ribosomal RNA
Source: RNAcentral